ACUAAAGUCAUAACGAACUGGGUGCAAAGGUCUAGUUGGCUGCAGUCGGUGACUAUAAGGUGUGCAACACCCCAGGCACAGUGCAGGAGGGUGCUCCUCUGGUCACUGCAGGAUGGUCGGCUUCUGUGAGCUGCUUGUGCAAGAACAAGGAAACUACAGUGUAGAAACAGGAACGGUCAACAUUGGGUUGCUUCAGGUCACCUUCAUGUACAAACCGGAGCAAAAGGCAUUUCCUUAUGCUGGCCCAGACUGACUGAGUCUCUGACAAUUGACUGAGGCACCUUCUGUUGAGCAUCUCCUGUGACUCGUCACUCGGUUUUGAAGUUUCUCAUCCUGUUUUGACUUCUGAUGGUCUACUUUUCAGUACAACAGAUGUCACGAGUUCCAGCCCUUCAUGGCCCUUUGAUUCUGGGUGUGUGGAGAAGCGGAAUAAAACUCAGAGGAGGAGGAGGCUGCUCAUCAUAUGGCUGGCAGGAAGCAGAGAGCAGCAGAGAGGGUCUGGGAAGUGUCUAGACCUUAGGUCUAAUUACGCUGCAUGUGAGAACACCCGAGCUGAGGGCGUUCCAUCAAGCCCUGUCAUCCUUGACAAGCUGCAUCCUUUAAAGGGCCUGGAUUCGUCUUCUAUCAUUUCACGUGUGUGCCUGGAUCUGCCCGGGUCCCGGGUGCGGGGGGGGGGGGGUUCCCGUUUUGAUAUCUGGCAAGAUCUGGGCUUACUCUCAAGUCUCACUGAAAACUCACUGUUAACAUAAAAAUUCAUUUGUUAAUUAAUUGGAAUUCUAUCUCUGAUGAGCUAAUGGCACUCUCUUAUUAAUUGUCAUAUGCUAAGUGGUCUGAAACAGCACCCCCCCCCCCCCCCCCGAGUGUGGUUAAUACAAAAGCCACUUUGGGUACUAAUGUAAGUAAAGGCUUAAUCCUUUUCGUGAAUUACAAGUUCACGUGAGGAACACUUUUUUCAUCUCUAUCUAAAAGCCAAGAAAUCACUAGAACUUGCCCAAGCCUAAUUUGAUUAUUUCUAAUUUGGUUAAUUAAUUAACCAUUAAUUCUAUUUGGCUGAUAAGGAAACAGAUUUGAUUAUUUCUAACAUGAUUAAUUAAUUAACCAUUAAUUCUAUUUUGCUGAUAAGGAAACUGAGGCACAAAGAGGUAUGAUAAAAUGCUCAAAAUUAUAUAACCAGUAAAGCUAGAAUUUGAACUACAGAGAACUUGCUGAUAGACACUAGACUUAUAAAUACUGUACCCAACUGUACCUCCCUGUCGGCGUCGGCCCAUCUUAGCAAGGCCAAGAGGCCUUCUGUGACCAAGCCGCACACCCCUCAGAGGAAUCAAUCUUUUUUUUUAAUUUUUUUUAUUUUAAUUUUAAAUACCAAAUGUCAUUUAUUGAAGGAGGUAGGAGGUCUUAAAUACAGGCUUACAGCACAAUGGGAGGACCCAGAGGGCAGAAGUUCGCUACUGAUGUUUUACAGUUUUGCAUCUGAGCUGUUAACGGCCAUUAUUCAGGAUACACAGACAAGGAACUUCCCUUAAGCAUCCAGGAGGGUGGAACCCGGCAGGGAAUUAGCAUAGGGAGGAUAUCAAGGUCAAGGUCCGCAAGCAAGGCA
Peromyscus maniculatus bairdii (prairie deer mouse) is the source of this 1597-nucleotide non-coding RNA. The record is from RefSeq and is a predicted model, not a curated record. NCBI's taxonomy places the organism in Eukaryota, Metazoa, Chordata, Mammalia, Rodentia, Cricetidae.